UCCGAUUUCAGUUGUGUGCUCCAGUGUCUAUCGUUUAACCUUUCGUCUUAUUUAAUAUUUUUUAUCAUUAGUAUUUUUAUUGUUAUUCGAUAAUAAUUAAAACAUGAAUAGUAUUUAAUGCUUACUUUUUUUAAGUUUUUUAAUUUUUUUUAAACAAGACGGAUGUUCAAACGUUUGAAACAGAAACCUACAACCUCACUUAAA
This 204-nucleotide microRNA precursor is filed under the name Oryza rufipogon (brownbeard rice). Its description in RNAcentral is "MIR812 microRNA precursor family". It matches the Rfam family "MIR812 microRNA precursor family". The record is from Rfam by way of RNAcentral. Lineage: Eukaryota; Viridiplantae; Streptophyta; Magnoliopsida; Poales; Poaceae.